RNAcentral lists this microRNA precursor (107 nucleotides) under Sorghum bicolor (sorghum). RNAcentral describes it as "miR5564a stem-loop (sbi-MIR5564a)". The record is from miRBase by way of RNAcentral. Lineage: Eukaryota; Viridiplantae; Streptophyta; Magnoliopsida; Poales; Poaceae.
UGCCGUGGGGAAGCAAUUCGUCGAACAGCUGCUGCGCCAGAGGUUGGCAGGCCCUGAGCCUCGUCCACGUGCACGCGAGCUGUUCGGCGACUUGCUUCACCCAUGUC